UGGCUCAGUGGAUAGAGCAUCGGUCUGCGGAACUGAAGGGUCCCAGAUUCGAUUCUGG
Molecule: transfer RNA, 58 nt
Filed under: Myotis lucifugus (little brown bat)
Lineage: Eukaryota; Metazoa; Chordata; Mammalia; Chiroptera; Vespertilionidae
Rfam family: tRNA
About the family: Transfer RNA (tRNA) molecules are approximately 80 nucleotides in length. Their secondary structure includes four short double-helical elements and three loops (D, anti-codon, and T loops).
Source: Rfam by way of RNAcentral